RNAcentral lists this ribosomal RNA (223 nucleotides) under uncultured bacterium. RNAcentral describes it as "partial 16S ribosomal RNA". It matches the Rfam family "Bacterial small subunit ribosomal RNA", at positions 328 to 539 of the family's 1533-position model. The record is from RNAcentral.
ACGCUCGACACCUACGGGAGACAGCAGUAGGGAAUCUUCCACAAUGGGCGCAAGCCUGAUGGAGCAACACCGCGUGAGUGAAGAAGGGUUUCGGCUCGUAAAGCUCUGUUGUUGGAGAAGAACGUGCGUGAGAGUAACUGUUCACGCAGUGACGGUAUCCAACCAGAAAGUCACGGCUAACUACGUACCAGCAGCCGCGGUAAUCUGAGCGGGCUGGCAAGGC